UGUAAGAUAAUUAUUUUGAGUUUUGUACUAAGUUGCUUUGGUUUAUCUAAUUCUGUUUUGAUGAUUUUUGUUUGGAACCUACUCAAAAGCACACUUGUGAGAAAUUGAGCGUAAAUUGUAAGCAUACACUUUAUAUGCUUGUAUUUAUUUCUUGUUGAGAGUGCCAAUUACUGUCUUUACUUAUAGAACUUGCUCGGUAAUGCUUAUGAGGGCCACAAGGAGAGUUUAACACUUUGGUAUGAUAGAGGCACUUAGGUUUUUCAUUCUAGCCAAAUAGCCUUCAUUCGUUUAUUGAUUAUGUAGAUAACC
Molecule: long non-coding RNA, 309 nt
Filed under: Ricinus communis (castor bean)
Lineage: Eukaryota; Viridiplantae; Streptophyta; Magnoliopsida; Malpighiales; Euphorbiaceae
Description: long non-coding RNA (RCOM_LNC002077)
Source: RNAcentral